RNAcentral lists this ribosomal RNA (476 nucleotides) under uncultured bacterium. RNAcentral's name for it is "bacterial SSU rRNA". It matches the Rfam family "Bacterial small subunit ribosomal RNA", at positions 8 to 526 of the family's 1533-position model. The record is from RNAcentral.
AGAGUUUGAUCCUGGCUCAGGAUGAACGCUGGCGGCGUGCCUAAUACAUGCAAGUCGAGCGGUAACACUUCGGGUGACGAGCGGCGGACGGCAGAGUAACGCGUAGGAACGUACCCCAAACUGAGGGAUAACUCCGAGAAAUCGGGGCUAAUACCGCAUGUGAUCUUCGGAUUAAAGCUUCGGCGGUUUGGGAACGGCCUGCGUAAGAUUAGCUAGUUGGUAGGGUAAAAGCUUACCAAGGCGACGAUCUUUAGCUGGUCUGAGAGGAUGAUCAGCCUGACUGGGACUGAGACACGGCCCAGACUCCUACGGGAGGCAGCAGUAGGGAAUUUUCCGCAAUGGGCGACAGCCUGACGGAGCAACGCCGCGUGCAGGAGGAAGGCCUUCGGGUUGUAAACUGCUUUUAUCUGUGACGAUUUUGACGGUAGCAGAAGAAUAAGGAUCGGCUAAUUCCGUGCCAGCCGCCGCGGUAAUAC